RNAcentral lists this long non-coding RNA (306 nucleotides) under Lathyrus oleraceus (garden pea). RNAcentral's name for it is "Pisum sativum (pea) long non-coding RNA (PSAT_LNC003956)". Lineage: Eukaryota; Viridiplantae; Streptophyta; Magnoliopsida; Fabales; Fabaceae. The record is from RNAcentral.
AAAAAUACAAGUAAAUAAGUCUCAAAAGUUGGAUCUCAAAAGGUUUGAAAAUGGUUGGAAAAAAAAUAGAAAGUGAAAAUAAAAUGAAAAAUGAAGGAAAAUAUCAAUUAAAUGCAAAAAUGACUUUAAAAAUUAUGAAAAAUAUAUAUGUAAUGCAAAAUAUUUUAUGGAUUUUCUAUAAAAAAAGUUAAGGAUCAUUAAAAAUAAAAUCAGAAAGUAAAAUGAAAAAGGAAAUGAAAAUAAAAUAAAAAAAUAAACAUUUGAAUUAGGGCGCCAACGGCUAGUACACGUGUCAGAUAAUGAUUU